AUAAUAAUAAUAAUAAUAAUAAUAAUAAUAAUAAUAAUAAUAAUAAUAAUAAUAAUAAUAAUAAUAAUAAUAAUAAUAAUAAUAAUAAUAAUAAUAAUAAUAAUAAUAAUAAAGUUGACGGACUCCUUUCCUACACGAAACGGACUCCUUUCCAACUCGGCCGGACUCCUUUCCAACGCUCGGACUCCUUUCCAACACGAUCGGACUCCUUUCCAACACGAUCGGACUCCUUUCCAACAUGAUCGGACUCCUUUCCAACGCAAACGGACUCCUUUCCUACCCAAUCUAAAAAUCGGCUGUCCGUAAAAUUUGCCGGUUAAAGUUUACAAAUUCAGAGGCGAGGAAGGAGACGAAGGAAGAAAUAAUACACGUUUUUUUACUUUAUUUAGAAUGUAAGAGUGGUUAAGGGGAGAAAAUGGUUACUUUAUUUCAAAGCAAAGACUUGUUGCUUGGGGAUAAACGCUGAACUUUAUUACCUAGACACAGAGUGCUUGUACUACAGACAUGUGAUGAUCAUCAAAUAAACAAAGUACAACACAUUUCUCACAGAAUGAAAGUCAGUAUAGAUACAUUGCAAAAUCUACACUCAGCUCAAGUGAUGGGUGAUGUUUUGUUGUUUUUUUCUCACUUUUUAAAGAGCGUUAUUUAUUUUUCUUUAAGUCAAAUUUCCUGGGAACCAGAUUGCACAUUUUCUAAAAAAUUUGGAGUAAUCGAGCACAAGUAAAUAUUAAAAAAUAAAAAAAUAACAAGAGCUAUAGUCAGCUAGCUGAGUUUGGAAAAGGAAGUUUGUCGUGUUGAUAUACUGUAUUGAUAUAAUCUAUAAUGCUCUGUUUCUCCACCUCCUGCAAGAGACAGUCAGAUGGGCAAUAAUAUUUUUUCAAACUAAGCAGUCUUAUAUUUAUCAAAUAAUUUGUAUAUAUAUAUAUGUAUAUUUUUAUAUUGAGGAUUUUCCAAGACCAUAUUUUAAAUUUUGCUUCUAUUAUUCAAAUUUUUGUACUGUUACCGUUAGUAAUAAAAUAAACAUGGCAAGGAGUAAAACAAAUCGUUUUUUGAAUCAUUUUGAAGCAUAAAAUUAUUCAGGAAAGUUUUAUUGCUCAUGUCCCACCCAAAAUUUUAUGAAUCUAACUUCAAAAAAUUGCUAGGUGUAUGCUUAGUGUACUCCAUCAUCAUUUAAUAUACUUUGUGUUGUGUUUCCAGCUGCUUUUAUAAAUUCAGUAUAGAUGAUACUCUGUAAAACACUUGACACAUGUUGUCAGAAUAGUGCAACUUCAUGAGUAAAUGCUCAUUAACUUUUGAAAAAUGUUGAGUGGCAAAAGUGGCAAACCUCUGAUUUUAAGUUAAGCAAGAAAUGAGUAUUAUGAGUAUUGAAUGUAAUUGUAUAUAAUAAAAUAUCACAAAAGAACUAAAUUAAUUUAUUGUA
This is a long non-coding RNA of Hydractinia symbiolongicarpus, 1420 nucleotides long. RefSeq lists it as uncharacterized. Lineage: Eukaryota; Metazoa; Cnidaria; Hydrozoa; Anthoathecata; Hydractiniidae. The record is from RefSeq and is a predicted model, not a curated record. The transcript has 2 exons.